UGGGAGUAGAUUGUACCAGAAGCGGCUAGCCUAACCUUCGGGAGGGCGGUUACCACGGUAUGGUUUAUGACUGGGGUGAAGUCGUAACAAGGUAGCCGUAGGGGAACCUGCGGCUGGAUCACCUCCUUUAAAGAAAAGGGUCUAGACCCCACACACGCCACUCGGUAAGGAAUUGGGCCUAUAGCUCAGCUGGCUAGAGCACACGACUGAUAAUCGUGAGGUCAGUGGUUCGAGUCCACUUGGGCCCACCAAAUGGGGCUGUAGCUCAGUUGGGAGAGCACCUGCUUUGCAAGCAGGGGGUCACCGGUUCGAGACCGGUCAGCUCCACCACAGGGAGAGAAGGCCCGCAAAGAGCGCGGGCUGGUCGCUGAGGGGGGAGGUAGAGGGGGUAGGGUUAUAUUUUUAGUGUGUAGUGCUGAAUAUCAUUUUCAAGGGUCGUUGGGAUUGAAAGGGAUAUUGAUCACUGCUCAUGCGUUAAGGGUGAGCUAGUUUGUUCUUUAAUAGUUGAGGAAGGGAGGCCAUGUUUGUCAUCUUGUCGAUGGCAGA
This 546-nucleotide ribosomal RNA is filed under the name uncultured bacterium. RNAcentral's name for it is "partial 16S ribosomal RNA". The stretch from base 1 to 129 matches the Rfam family "Bacterial small subunit ribosomal RNA", at positions 1405 to 1533 of the family's 1533-position model. The record is from RNAcentral.